RNAcentral lists this long non-coding RNA (360 nucleotides) under Salmo salar (Atlantic salmon). RNAcentral describes it as "lncRNA (ENSSSAG00000108433.1)". The record is from RNAcentral. Lineage: Eukaryota; Metazoa; Chordata; Actinopteri; Salmoniformes; Salmonidae.
AUUCAAGGUGGACGAAUGCAUACUCUUUUAUAACGUAUUGGAACGAGGGUACCCAACAUCAACUCGCGCGCCAGGUGUCUAAUGGGACAUCAUCGUUCCAUGGCUCUUGUUCGGUCAGAUCUCCCUCCAGAAGACUCAAAACACUUUGUAAAGGCUGGUGACAUCUAGUGGAAGCAAUAGGAAGUGCCAAAAUAUUCCUCAGCCCCUGUGUUUUUCAAUGGGAUAGGUUUAAAGGUAAUACAACACAUCAGGUAUCCACUUCCUGUCAGAAAAUGUCUCGGGGUUUUGCCUGCCAAAUGAGUUCUGUUAUACUCACAGACACCAUUCAAACAGUUUUGGAAACUUUAGAGUGUUUUCUAU